RNAcentral lists this ribosomal RNA (497 nucleotides) under uncultured bacterium. Its description in RNAcentral is "partial 16S ribosomal RNA". It matches the Rfam family "Bacterial small subunit ribosomal RNA", at positions 28 to 507 of the family's 1533-position model. The record is from RNAcentral.
GAUGAACGCUGGCGGCGUGCCUAAUACAUGCAAGUCGAGCGAACAGACGAGGAGCUUGCUCCUCUGAUGUUAGCGGCGGACGGGUGAGUAACACGUGGAUAACCUACCUAUAAGACUGGGAUAACUUCGGGAAACCGGAGCUAAUACCGGAUAACAUGUUGAACCGCAUGGUUCAACAGUGAAAGACGGUCUUGCUGUCACUUAUAGAUGGAUCCGCGCCGCAUUAGCUAGUUGGUAAGGUAACGGCUUACCAAGGCAACGAUGCGUAGCCGACCGGAGAGGGUGAUCGGCCACACUGGAACUGAGACACGGUCCAGACUCCUACGGGAGGCAGCAGUAGGGAAUCUUCCGCAAUGGGCGAAAGCCUGACGGAGCAACGCCGCGUGAGUGAAGAAGGUCUUCGGAUCGUAAAACUCUGUUAUUAGGGAAGAACAAAUGUGUAAGUAACUAUGCACGUAUUGACGGUACCUAAUCAGAAAGCCACGGCUAACUACGUG